RNAcentral lists this ribosomal RNA (448 nucleotides) under uncultured bacterium. RNAcentral describes it as "partial 16S ribosomal RNA". It matches the Rfam family "Bacterial small subunit ribosomal RNA", at positions 354 to 795 of the family's 1533-position model. The record is from RNAcentral.
GUCGAGAAUCUUUCACAAUGGGGGCAACCCUGAUGGAGCGACGCCGCGUGGAGGAUAAGGUCUUCGGAUUGUAAACUCCUGUCAUGCGUGAACAAGGUUGCUUGGUUAAUACCUGGGCAAAUUGAUGGUAACGCAAGAGGAAGAGACGGCUAACUCUGUGCCAGCAGCCGCGGUAAUACAGAGGUCUCAAGCGUUGUUCGGAAUCACUGGGCGUAAAGGGUGCGUAGGUGGCGUGGUAAGUCAGAUGUGAAAGCCCGGGGCUCAACCUCGGAACUGCAUCCGAUACUGCCAUGCUAGAGUACUGGAGAGGUGACUAGAAUUCUCGGUGUAGCAGUGAAAUGCGUAGAUAUCGAGAGGAAUACCAAAGGCGUAGGCAGGUCACUGGACAGUUACUGACACUGAGGCACGAAGGCCAGGGGAGCGAACGGGAUUAGAAACCCCUGUAGUC